AUUGAACGCUGGCGGCAGGCCUAACACAUGCAAGUCGAGCGGUUGAAGGGAGCUUGCUCCCUGAUUCAGCGGCGGACGGGUGAGUAAUGCCUAGGAAUCUGCCUAUUAGUGGGGGACAACGUUUCGAAAGGAACGCUAAUACCGCAUACGUCCUACGGGAGAAAGCAGGGGACCUUCGGGCCUUGCGCUAAUAGAUGAGCCUAGGUCGGAUUAGCUUGUUGGUGAGGUAAUGGCUCACCAAGGCGACGAUCCGUAACUGGUCUGAGAGGAUGAUCAGUCACACUGGAACUGAGACACGGUCCAGACUCCUACGGGAGGCAGCAGUGGGGAAUAUUGGACAAUGGGCGAAAGCCUGAUCCAGCCAUGCCGCGUGUGUGAAGAAGGUCUUCGGAUUGUAAAGCACUUUAAGUUGGGAGGAAGGGUUGUAGAUUAAUACUCUGCAAUUUUGACGUUACCGGCAGAAUAAGCACCGGCUAACUCUGUGCCAGCAGCCGCAGUAA
RNAcentral lists this ribosomal RNA (500 nucleotides) under uncultured bacterium. Its description in RNAcentral is "partial 16S ribosomal RNA". It matches the Rfam family "Bacterial small subunit ribosomal RNA", at positions 30 to 523 of the family's 1533-position model. The record is from RNAcentral.